ACGCAUCCUCAUUAUCAUAUCACAUCCUCUCCUACUUUGUAUAAACAACUUUUAGCAACAAGAUGGUGGGCUAGAGAAAUCCACAUGUAGCAAAAGUCUUUGUAGUAAACAACCAAUUGCAAACUAAGGAAAAACGCAACCAAUAGGGAAAGUAUGCACAUCCUCUCCAUCGGAUUCCUUUUCCACAUCCCCCUCACAGUCGACGAUGGAAGCGCAGAAGUGCUACGCGGUCUCCGAGGACGAUUAUUCUGAUUGUCUCCUGACGGGGGAUCUUCCUCUUGUGAAGACAUUGAAGCCACCACCCAGAACUUUCUUUAUACAAUAUGAUGAGCAUCUGCGACGCUGUCGUUGUGGUGGAUUGUGGUCAUCGAAUCCAUCUCAUUGGCUAGACAAUAACAUCCGACCUUAUCUCGGUUGCCAUCCAAGCUCGGAUCAACCAUGAAGCCCAGUGAACGAUUUGCUUUGACGGUACAAUGGCUGAUGUACAAGGAUUUGAUGAAAUUAAACUCCUAUCUGAACUGCAA
Molecule: long non-coding RNA, 524 nt
Organism: Ornithodoros turicata
Lineage: Eukaryota; Metazoa; Arthropoda; Arachnida; Ixodida; Argasidae
Exons: 2
Source: RefSeq, a predicted model, not a curated record